RNAcentral lists this ribosomal RNA (868 nucleotides) under uncultured archaeon. RNAcentral's name for it is "bacterial SSU rRNA". It matches the Rfam family "Archaeal small subunit ribosomal RNA", at positions 1 to 878 of the family's 1478-position model. The record is from RNAcentral.
CUCCGGUUGAUCCCGCGGGACCCGACUGCUAUCAGAGUGGGACUAAGCCAUGCGAGUCGACGUAGCAAUGCGUGGCGAACGGCUCAGUAACACGUAGUCAACAUGCCCAGGGGACGUGGAUAACCUCGGGAAACUGAGAAUAAACCACGAUAGGUCACGAUUUCUGGAAUGGAUCAUGGCCUAAAUCUAUAUGGCCCCUGGAUUGGACUGCGGCCGAUCAGGCUGUUGGUGAGGUAAUGGCCCACCAAACCUGUAACCGGUACGGGCUCUGAGAGGAGGAGCCCGGAGAUGGGCACUGAGACAAGGGCCCAGGCCCUAUGGGGCGCAGCAGGCGCGAAACCUCUGCAAUAGGCGAAAGCUUGACAGGGUUACUCUGAGUGAUUUCCGUUAAGGAGAUCUUUUGGCACCUCUAAAAAUGGUGCAGAAUAAGGGGUGGGCAAGUCUGGUGUCAGCCGCCGCGGUAAUACCAGCACCCCGAGUGGUCGGGACGUUUAUUGGGCCUAAAGCAUCCGUAGCCGGUUCUACAAGUCUUCCGUUAAAUCCACCUGCUUAACAGAUGGGCUGCGGAAGAUACUAUAGAGCUAGGAGGCGGGAGAGGCAAGCGGUACUCGAUGGGUAGGGGUAAAAUCCGUUGAUCCAUUGAAGACCACCAGUGGCGAAGGCGGCUUGCCAGAACGCGCUCGACGGUGAGGGAUGAAAGCUGGGGGAGCAAACCGGAUUAGAUACCCGGGUAGUCCCAGCUGUAAACGAUGCAGACUCGGUGAUGGGUUGGCUUCGAGCCAACCCAGUGCCGCAGGGAAGCCGUUAAGUCUGCCGCCUGGGGAGUACGGUCGCAAGACUGAAACUUAAAGGAAUUGGCGGGGGAGCA